CCUACGGGAGGCUGCAGUGAGGAAUAUUGGUCAAUGGACGGAAGUCUGAACCAGCCAUGCCGCGUGCAGGAAGACGGCCCUAUGAGUUGUAAACUGCUUUUGUACAAGGGUAAAUCUGAAUACGUGUAUUCUGCUGAACGUACUGUACGAAUAAGGAUCGGCUAACUCCGUGCUAGCAGCCGCGGUAAUACGGAGGAUCCAAGCGUUAUCCGGAUUUAUUUGGUUUAAAGGGUGCGUAGGCGGAUUGAUAAGUUAGAGGUGAAAUGUCCGAGCUUAACUCGGGAACUGCCUCUAAUACUAGUGAACUAGAGAGAGGAUGCGGUAGGCGGAAUGUAUGGUGUAGCGGUGAAAUGCUUAGAGAU
Molecule: ribosomal RNA, 362 nt
Filed under: uncultured bacterium
Lineage: Bacteria
Description: partial 16S ribosomal RNA
Rfam family: Bacterial small subunit ribosomal RNA
Source: RNAcentral